Molecule: ribosomal RNA, 303 nt
Filed under: uncultured bacterium
Lineage: Bacteria
Description: partial 16S ribosomal RNA
Rfam family: Bacterial small subunit ribosomal RNA
Source: RNAcentral
AGCAGUAGCCGCGGUAAUACGGAGGGAGCUAGCGUUGUUCGGAAUUACUGGGCGUAAAGCGCGCGUAGGCGGUUACUCAAGUCAGAGGUGAAAGCCCGGGGCUCAACCCCGGAACUGCCUUUGAAACUAGGUGACUAGAAUCUUGGAGAGGUCAGUGGAAUUCCGAGUGUAGAGGUGAAAUUCGUAGAUAUUCGGAAGAACACCAGUGGCGAAGGCGACUGACUGGACAAGUAUUGACGCUGAGGUGCGAAAGCGUGGGGAGCAAACAGGAUUAGAUACCCCCGUAGUCCCUGUCUCUUAUAA